This 787-nucleotide unclassified non-coding RNA is filed under the name Dermacentor andersoni. RNAcentral describes it as "uncharacterized LOC126517899". Lineage: Eukaryota; Metazoa; Arthropoda; Arachnida; Ixodida; Ixodidae. The record is from RNAcentral.
AUGGCGCGCGGCGGCGUGGCACGCGAGGAGAGCGCGGGCUGAGGUUCGAAUUUGGACGGGUCGGCAGAACGAGCGCGGGCUGGCGACGACCCGGAGGGACGUGUUCCAGUGGCGAUCGUGACGGCUACCGGUCCGCAUAGGAGCCUGUUAUUGGGGUACAGCCGGGCCAGCCCACACACGAGCGGCUACCGUUCCACUCUGGCAACCAUCCGAGGCUCGUCGGGACCAGGGGACGAAUCCGGUGGCUUGACGGUCCGCCCUCUUGGCCGCGCCUGUGGUCCCGCCCGAGAGCUGCCGCCGAGACCGAGUAUAGCGCUGCAGUUCGUGGGUCCGCCAGCAGUGCUGCUGGCGGCGCUCGUCGCCAGCGGGCCAGUCACGCUCUUCCAGCCCAGAGCGGAGAGCGGCCCACCACGGUGCCAGGGAGGCGCGGCAGGUCCACAAGACGACACGCCCGCGGACAUUCAGCUUACGGGAAAAGCAAGAAUUUGUGGAACUGAACCAAAGCUUUUGUUUGACGGCGGCUUACAAGAGUGCGGUGAGCGAUGCAUGGAAUCGUGGCCCGUGAAUAUGCUUGUUGCAAGACCCACAAGCAGAAUCUGGCCACCAUUCAGCAGACAUCCUCAAGCACGCACUGCACAAAGGGAAAAGCGAGCAUUUCAGGAACAGCACCAAAGCUUUUGUUCAGCGACGAUUUCAAUAGAGCGGUGAGCGAUGCACGGAAUCAUGACCCGUGUAUAUGCUUGUUGCAAGACCCACAAGCAGAAUAGGGCCACCAUGCAGCAGACGG